This 462-nucleotide ribosomal RNA is filed under the name uncultured bacterium. RNAcentral describes it as "partial 16S ribosomal RNA". It matches the Rfam family "Bacterial small subunit ribosomal RNA", at positions 29 to 507 of the family's 1533-position model. The record is from RNAcentral.
AGUGAACGCUGGCGGCGUGCCUAAUACAUGCAAGUCGAACGGAGAUUAAGUAGCUUGCUAUUUAAUCUUAGUGGCGCACGGGUGAGUAAUAUAUAGCUAACUUGCCCAUUACUAAGGGACAACAGUUGGAAACGACUGCUAAUACCUUAUACUCCGUAUCUAUAUAAGUAGAUACGGGAAAGUUUUUCGGUAAUGGAUAGGGCUAUAUCGUAUCAGCUAGUUGGUAAGGUAAUGGCUUACCAAGGCUAUGGCGCGUAACUGGUCUGAGAGGAUGAUCAGUCACACUGGAACUGAGACACGGUCCAGACUCCUACGGGAGGCAGCAGUAGGUAAUAUUGCUCAAUGGGGGAAACCCUGAAGCAGCAACGCCGCGUGGAGGAUGACACUUUUCGGAGCGUAAACUCCUUUUCUUGGGAAAGAAUUAUGACGGUACCCAAGGAAUAAGCACCGGCUAACUCCGUG